This is a long non-coding RNA of Anopheles stephensi (Asian malaria mosquito), 555 nucleotides long. RefSeq lists it as uncharacterized. NCBI's taxonomy places the organism in Eukaryota, Metazoa, Arthropoda, Insecta, Diptera, Culicidae. The record is from RefSeq and is a predicted model, not a curated record. The transcript has 2 exons.
CCAGAUUGGGAGGUUUUCUUCAGCUCGACGGUCAGUCAGUCACAGUCAGUAUCAGGUCCGGUGGAGGGUACGAUAACCGCUGUCUUGUUUAGGCCAAUCCGCAAAAAAGCACCGGAAAUGGUCCCAAUAGACACCGGAAGCAGUUGAAAGGAAAAAUUCGCCAAAAGCAAGAGGAUACCCGAGGUGUUUAUAGCAACGAUCUUCACCUGAUUGUCCUACGAGAUAUUGCGCCACACACACACGAUGGGCUGUUGCUGCAGUAGCUCGGACUCACAGGAUAUUACGCCGGUACCGGAUCGACCCACGGCCGAAGAUUUCCCACCAGCGACGGCCUUCGGUGGUGAUGAUGCCGGCACCAAUCCGGCCUUUACCAAUGAGAAUGGAUGAAUCCCGGCGUAAGCAAUGAGGCGCCUUCCGGGAGCCGAUCGCCCGGUCAAACCCGAACCCGGAAGCGUAUAAUGUAGGUGACGUGCGUGUGUCCGUGCGUUACGAUAAAUCAUGCCAAUAAAAGAACAAUUUAAGUGACCGAACCAGAAAUGAAAUGAGAUGAAAACA